AGAUGAGGUCUUCUUUUAUUGAAUGAGCUGGUCUCCAACUCCUGGCUUCAAGUGAUCUUCCAACUUCUGCCUCCCAAAGUGCUGGGAUUACAGGUGUGAGCCACCACGCCCGGCCAAGUUCUGCUUCUUAACCUGAGAUAAACACAAUCCGGGAAACAUUUUAUAAUACAGAGGGCCGCACCAGAUUGAAUAUUGCCCCCAGGAAUGAAAUGAAAACAGGAAUGGAUUCUCCAGUAAGAGGUACCCAGAUAUCCUAAUCUUCAGUAGCUGACCUAAACCCUGGACAAGUGGGAUCAAACCCCAUAACCAAAUACAUCUUUUUAGGAACUAAGUGGAUAAUCACUCUGUGUUGUAUGAACAUGUGGGCAAUGUGUUUCCUACACAGCUUAAAAGUGCAAUAAAAAAAGAUCUAGGUGUCAUAUAAAGAAUUUCUACCACUGUUAGAGUAAUGGUGGACUGACAGGCAGAGGGUCUUAGAUGUGAUUUAAGUAAAGUUCAAUAGAAGCUUCCAGCACAGAUAUUCAUGUUUCUAAUUGGACCGCUCCGUUAAAAAGUUUUUCCAUUAGAUUUCCCCUAAUCAAAUUAGAAAUUACCUAAUUUUCUAAUAAAGAUUUCCCCAGGCACAA
RNAcentral lists this long non-coding RNA (626 nucleotides) under Pongo abelii (Sumatran orangutan). Its description in RNAcentral is "lincRNA". The record is from RNAcentral. Lineage: Eukaryota; Metazoa; Chordata; Mammalia; Primates; Hominidae.